CUCUUCGGAGUGAGUGGCAGACGGGUGAGUAACGCGUCGCGAAUCUACCUAGUUCUACGGAACAACAGUUGGAAACGACUGCUAAUACCGUAUACGCCCUACGGGGGAAAGAUUUAUCGGAAUUAGAUGAGCCCGCGUAAGAUUAGCUAGUUGGUGGGGUAAUGGCCUACCAAGGCGACGAUCUUUAGCUGGUCUGAGAGGAUGAUCACCCACACUGGGACUGAAACACGGCCCAAACUCCUACGGGAGGCAGCAGUGGGAAAUAUUGGACAAUGGGCGCAAGCCUGAUCCACCCAUGCCGCGUGAGUGAUGAAGGCCUUAGGGUUGUAAAGCUCUUUCAGUAGGGAAGAUAAUGACGGUCCCUACAAAAGAAGCCCCGGUUAAUUUCGUGCCCACAUCCGCGGUAUUACAAAGGGGGCUUAGCGUUGUUCGAAUUUACUGGGGGAAAAACCCCACGUAGGCCGGAUUGGGUCCUUUAGAGGGGAAA
RNAcentral lists this ribosomal RNA (487 nucleotides) under uncultured Alphaproteobacteria bacterium. Its description in RNAcentral is "bacterial SSU rRNA". It matches the Rfam family "Bacterial small subunit ribosomal RNA", at positions 76 to 599 of the family's 1533-position model. The record is from RNAcentral. Lineage: Bacteria; Pseudomonadati; Pseudomonadota; Alphaproteobacteria.